This 484-nucleotide ribosomal RNA is filed under the name uncultured bacterium. RNAcentral's name for it is "partial 16S ribosomal RNA". It matches the Rfam family "Bacterial small subunit ribosomal RNA", at positions 30 to 507 of the family's 1533-position model. The record is from RNAcentral.
AUUGAACGCUGGCGGCAGGCCUAACACAUGCAAGUCGAGCGGAUGAAGGGAGCUUGCUCCUGGAUUCAGCGGCGGACGGGUGAGUAAUGCCUAGGAAUCUGCCUGGUAGUGGGGGAUAACGUCCGGAAACGGGCGCUAAUACCGCAUACGUUCUGAGGGAGAAAGUGGGGGAUCUUCGGACCUCACGCUAUCAGAUGAGCCGAGGUCGGAUUAGCUAGUUGGUGGGGUAAAGGCCUACCAAGGCGACGAUCCGUAACUGGUCUGAGAGGAUGAUCAGUCAAACUGGAACUGAGACACGGUCCAGACUCCUACGGGAGGCAGCAGUGGGGAAUAUUGGACAAAGGGCGAAAGCCUGAUCCAGCCAUGCCGCGUGUGGGAAGAAGGUCUUCGGAUUGUAAAGCACUUUAAGUUGGGAGGAAGGGCAGUAAGUUAAUACCUUGCUGUUGUGACGUUACCAACAGAAUAAGCACCGGCUAACUUCGUG